UUAUAGAUUUGUUUUUGUUAGAUGAUUUGGUGUAUGUUAGAAAAUUUAUUUAAGUGGACUGUGAAAUAUCCAUUAAUAUAGAUGUGAAUGUUGAAGAAUGUUUCCGAGGUAUUAUGUUAUGACACAUCAACUAGUUCUUCCACAUAAAGUAAUUUAGUGCAAUAUAAACUUAAGUAGAAAUGUAAAACAUGAGCUCAAUUGCUAUCCUUUAUAGUAUAAUGGUUUAAAAUGUAGGAAUUCCAUUUAUUAUGUUCAGAGUACUUUUUUAUGUUUUAUUGUAAGCAUGACAAAAAAUGAGAGGGGAACAGUUAU
This 312-nucleotide long non-coding RNA is filed under the name Bos taurus (domestic cattle). RNAcentral describes it as "long non-coding RNA NONBTAT017092". Lineage: Eukaryota; Metazoa; Chordata; Mammalia; Artiodactyla; Bovidae. The record is from RNAcentral.